UUAAGUAAAGCAUUUUUUUAUGCAUUUAACUGUUAAUUAAAAGAGUACUUAUAGUUACUUAAA
This 63-nucleotide transfer RNA is filed under the name Planorbella duryi. RNAcentral describes it as "tRNA-Asn". The record is from RNAcentral. Lineage: Eukaryota; Metazoa; Mollusca; Gastropoda; Planorbidae.